Molecule: ribosomal RNA, 484 nt
Filed under: uncultured bacterium
Lineage: Bacteria
Description: partial 16S ribosomal RNA
Rfam family: Bacterial small subunit ribosomal RNA
Source: RNAcentral
GACGAACGCUGGCGGCGUGCUUAACACAUGCAAGUCGAACGAUGAACCCGGAGCUUGCUCCGGCGGAUUAGUGGCGAACGGGUGAGUAACACGUGAGUAACCUGCCCUUGACUCUGGGAUAACUGCUAGAAAUGGUAGCUAAUACCGGAUACGACCCUCGGUGGCAUCACCAGGGGGUGGAAAGAAUUUCGGUCAAGGAUGGACUCGCGGCCUAUCAGCUAGUUGGUGAGGUAACGGCUCACCAAGGCGACUACGGGUAGCCGGCCUGAGAGGGGGACCGGCCACACGGGGACUGCAACACGGCCCAGACUCCUCCGGGAGGCAGCAGUGGGGAAUUUUGCAGACUGGGCGCAAGCCUGAUGCAGCAACGCCGCGUGAGGGAUGACGGCCUUCGGGUUGUAAACCUCUUUUAGUAGGGAAGAAGCGAAAGUGACGGUACCUGAAGAAAAAGCACCGGCUAACGACGUGCCAGCCGCCGCGGUAA